AUUUAUGUAGUUUAAAUAAAACAUUACAUUUUCACUGUAAAAAUAUUAUUUUAUAAUCCUAAGUU
This 65-nucleotide transfer RNA is filed under the name Geoscapheus dilatatus. RNAcentral's name for it is "tRNA-Glu". Lineage: Eukaryota; Metazoa; Arthropoda; Insecta; Blattodea; Blaberidae. The record is from RNAcentral.